This 74-nucleotide transfer RNA is filed under the name Zingiber officinale. It matches the Rfam family "tRNA". From Rfam's summary of the family: Transfer RNA (tRNA) molecules are approximately 80 nucleotides in length. Their secondary structure includes four short double-helical elements and three loops (D, anti-codon, and T loops). Lineage: Eukaryota; Viridiplantae; Streptophyta; Magnoliopsida; Zingiberales; Zingiberaceae. The record is from Rfam by way of RNAcentral.
AGAGAUGUAGCGCAGCUUGAUAGCGGAUUUGUUUUGGGUACAAUAUGUCACGGGUUCAAAUCCUGUCAUCCCUA